CUGGCUCAGGAUGAACGCUGGCGGCGUGCUUAACACAUGCAAGUCGAACGGAGUUUUAAACGGAAGUCCUCGGAUGGAAGUUAGAAACUAGUGGCGGACGGGUGAGUAACGCGUGGGUAACCUGCCUCAUACAGGGGGGAUAACAGUCGGAAACGAUUGCUAAAACCGCAUAACAUAGCGAAACCGCAUGAUUUUUGCUAUCAAAUAUUUAUAGGUAUGAGAUGGGCCCGCGUCUGAUUAGCUAGUUGGUGGGGUAAUGGCCUACCAAGGCGACGAUCAGUAGCCGGCUUGAGAGAGUGACCGGCCACAUUGGGACUGAGACACGGCCCAAACUCCUACGGGAGGCAGCAGUGGGGAAUAUUGGACAAUGGGGGAAACCCUGAUCCAGCGAACCGCCGCGUGAGUGAAGAAGUAUUUCGGUAUGUAAAGCUCUAUCAGCAGGGAAGAUAAUGACAGUACCUGACUAAGAAGCCCCGGCUAACUACGUGCCAGCCGCAGC
This 499-nucleotide ribosomal RNA is filed under the name uncultured bacterium. RNAcentral describes it as "bacterial SSU rRNA". It matches the Rfam family "Bacterial small subunit ribosomal RNA", at positions 19 to 518 of the family's 1533-position model. The record is from RNAcentral.